RNAcentral lists this long non-coding RNA (322 nucleotides) under Elaeis guineensis (African oil palm). Its description in RNAcentral is "long non-coding RNA (EGUI_LNC020854)". Lineage: Eukaryota; Viridiplantae; Streptophyta; Magnoliopsida; Arecales; Arecaceae. The record is from RNAcentral.
AGUGCCAUUUCAAGAAAACAUGAAUAAUAUCACAUAUUGGUAAACAAAGUUCGAGAUAUUUUAAAAUAUUAAUUCUGAUGAACGAUCCAAAUUUUUAAAUUAAUUAUUUUUUAAUCAAUCAAAAAUUAUGCUCUAACGUUCUUUAGUAUUUGUCUUUGAAUUAGUAGUCGGUUCAAUGACUUUUAAGAUAUUUUGACUUCAAGCUUUGCAAUACCUAUCAAACUAGUAGUCUUUUUUUUACAUAAUUCUAUGCAUGGUUAUAUGGUAUGUGAUAUCUGUUGGUACACUAAACCGAUCCCAAGCUACGUGGCAUCAUCGUACG